UUCUUCGCCGUCUUGAUCUCCAG
Molecule: non-coding RNA, 23 nt
Filed under: Arabidopsis thaliana (thale cress)
Lineage: Eukaryota; Viridiplantae; Streptophyta; Magnoliopsida; Brassicales; Brassicaceae
Source: RNAcentral